This 693-nucleotide ribosomal RNA is filed under the name Klebsiella oxytoca. Its description in RNAcentral is "partial 23S ribosomal RNA". It matches the Rfam family "Bacterial large subunit ribosomal RNA", at positions 2238 to 2925 of the family's 2925-position model. RNAcentral also lists the same sequence under 2 other names. Lineage: Bacteria; Pseudomonadati; Pseudomonadota; Gammaproteobacteria; Enterobacterales; Enterobacteriaceae. The record is from RNAcentral.
AUCGGGGUUGCGGACAGUGUCUGGUGGGUAGUUUGACUGGGGCGGUCUCCUCCUAAAGAGUAACGGAGGAGCACGAAGGUCAGCUAAUCCUGGUCGGACAUCAGGAGGUUAGUGCAAUGGCAUAAGCUGGCUUGACUGCGAGCGUGACGGCGCGAGCAGGUGCGAAAGCAGGUCAUAGUGAUCCGGUGGUUCUGAAUGGAAGGGCCAUCGCUCAACGGAUAAAAGGUACUCCGGGGAUAACAGGCUGAUACCGCCCAAGAGUUCAUAUCGACGGCGGUGUUUGGCACCUCGAUGUCGGCUCAUCACAUCCUGGGGCUGAAGUAGGUCCCAAGGGUAUGGCUGUUCGCCAUUUAAAGUGGUACGCGAGCUGGGUUUAGAACGUCGUGAGACAGUUCGGUCCCUAUCUGCCGUGGGCGCUGGAGAAUUGAGGGGGGCUGCUCCUAGUACGAGAGGACCGGAGUGGACGCAUCACUGGUGUUCGGGUUGUCAUGCCAAUGGCAUUGCCCGGUAGCUAAAUGCGGAAGAGAUAAGUGCUGAAAGCAUCUAAGCACGAAACUUGCCCCGAGAUGAGUUCUCCCUGACUCCUUGAGAGUCCUGAAGGAACGUUGAAGACGACGACGUUGAUAGGCCGGGUGUGUAAGCGCAGCGAUGCGUUGAGCUAACCGGUACUAAUGAACCGUGAGGCUUAACCUU